RNAcentral lists this ribosomal RNA (384 nucleotides) under Pan paniscus (pygmy chimpanzee). RNAcentral's name for it is "partial 16S ribosomal RNA". It matches the Rfam family "Bacterial large subunit ribosomal RNA", at positions 1960 to 2519 of the family's 2925-position model. Lineage: Eukaryota; Metazoa; Chordata; Mammalia; Primates; Hominidae. The record is from RNAcentral.
CAUAAUCACUUGUUCCUUAAAUAGGGACUUGUAUGAAUGGCUCCACGAGGGUUUAGCUGUCUCUUACUUUCAACCAGUGAAAUUGACCUACCCGUGAAGAGGCGGGCAUAACAUAGCAAGACGAGAAGACCCUAUGGAGCUUUAAUUCAUUAAUGCAAACAAUACUUAACAAACCCACAGGUCCUAAACUAUUAAACCUGCAUUAAAAAUUUCGGUUGGGGCGACCUCGGAGCACAACCCAACCUCCGAGCAACACAUGCUAAGACCUCACCAGUCAAAGCGAAUUAUUACAUCCAAUUGAUCCAAUUACUUGACCAACGGAACAAGUUACCCUAGGGAUAACAGCGCAAUCCUAUUCCAGAGUCCAUAUCAACAAUAGGGUUU